RNAcentral lists this ribosomal RNA (222 nucleotides) under uncultured bacterium. RNAcentral describes it as "partial 16S ribosomal RNA". It matches the Rfam family "Bacterial small subunit ribosomal RNA", at positions 524 to 744 of the family's 1533-position model. The record is from RNAcentral.
UACGUAGGGCGCAAGCGUUGUCCGGAAUUAUUGGGCGUAAAGAGCUCGUAGGCGGUUUGUCGCGUCUGCUGUGAAACCUGAGGCUCAACCUCGGGCUUGCAGUGGGUACGGGCAGACUAGAGUGCGGUAGGGGUGACUGGAAUUCCUGGUGUAGCGGUGGAAUGCGUAGAUAUUGGGGAGGAACACCAGUCGGCGAAGGCGGCUCACUGGACCGGUACUGAC